GACGAACGCUGGCGGCGUGCUUAACACAUGCAAGUCGAACGAUGAAGCACCAGCUUGCUGGUGUGGAUUAGUGGCGAACGGGUGAGUAACACGUGAGUAACCUGCCCCUCACUCUGGGAUAAGCCUGGGAAACUGGGUCUAAUACUGGAUACGACCGAUCUCCGCAUGGAGUGUUGGUGGAAAGAUUUUGUGGUGGGGGAUGGACUCGCGGCCUAUCAGCUUGUUGGUGGGGUAAUGGCCUACCAAGGCGACGACGGGUAGCCGGCCUGAGAGGGCGACCGGCCACACUGGGACUGAGACACGGCCCAGACUCCUACGGGAGGCAGCAGUGGGGAAUAUUGCACAAUGGGCGAAAGCCUGAUGCAGCGACGCCGCGUGAGGGAUGACGGCCUUCGGGUUGUAAACCUCUUUCACCAGGGACGAAGCUAACGUGACGGUACCUGGAGAAGAAGCACCGGCUAACUACGUG
Molecule: ribosomal RNA, 469 nt
Filed under: uncultured bacterium
Lineage: Bacteria
Description: partial 16S ribosomal RNA
Rfam family: Bacterial small subunit ribosomal RNA
Source: RNAcentral